UAUGCAGUGAUGAGCUCAUAACAUGUAAGAAGAUCCCUUUUGUGGGGUUUCUUCUGUGAAAUAUACUUGUUACGCUUGGCUUCUGAGCUCA
This is a non-coding RNA of Populus trichocarpa (black cottonwood), 91 nucleotides long. Lineage: Eukaryota; Viridiplantae; Streptophyta; Magnoliopsida; Malpighiales; Salicaceae. The record is from Rfam.